Acanthosepion pharaonis is the source of this 99-nucleotide non-coding RNA. Lineage: Eukaryota; Metazoa; Mollusca; Cephalopoda; Sepiida; Sepiidae. The record is from the annotation of a GenBank genome assembly.
CGUUGAAAUACCGUUUCCUGUACGAUCACCAAAGAUAAGUAACGUCGAGCCUAGUCAGUACCUAGAUAGGUGACCACUUGGGAAUACCAGGUGCUGUAA